This 448-nucleotide ribosomal RNA is filed under the name uncultured bacterium. RNAcentral's name for it is "partial 16S ribosomal RNA". It matches the Rfam family "Bacterial small subunit ribosomal RNA", at positions 330 to 793 of the family's 1533-position model. The record is from RNAcentral.
UCCAGACUCCUACGGGAGGCAGCAGUGGGGGAUAUUGCACAAUGGGGGGAACCCUGAUGCAGCGACGCCGCGUGGGUGAAGGAGCGUUUCGGCGCGUAAAGCCCUAUCGGCAGGGAAGAAGGAGGACGGUACCUGACUAAGAAGCCCCGGCUAACUACGUGCCAGCAGCCGCGGUAAUACGUAGGGGGCAAGCGUUAUCCGGAUUUACUGGGUGUAAAGGGGGCGCAGACGGCAGCGCAAGCCAGGAGUGAAAGCCCGGGGCUCAACCCCGGGACUGCUCUUGGAACUGCGCGGCUGGAGUGCAGGAGGGGCAGGCGGAAUUCCUGGUGUAGCGGUGAAAUGCGUAGAUAUCAGGAGGAACACCGGUGGCGAAGGCGGCCUGCUGGACUGCGACUGACGUUGAGGCCCGAAAGCGUGGGGAGCAAACAGGAUUAGAUACCCGGGUAAG